AUUGAACGCUGGCGGCAGGCUUAACACAUGCAAGUCGAGCGGGGGAAGGUAGCUUGCUACCGGACCUAGCGGCGGACGGGUGAGUAAUGCUUAGGAAUCUGCCUAUUAGUGGGGGACAACAUCUCGAAAGGGAUGCUAAUACCGCAUACGUCCUAUGGGAGAAAGCAGGGGAUCUUCGGACCUUGCGCUAAUAGAUGAGCCUAAGUCGGAUUAGCUAGUUGGUGGGGUAAAGGCCUACCAAGGCGACGACCUGUAGCGGGCCUGAGAGGAUGAUCCGCCACACUGGGACUGAGACACGGCCCAGACUCCUACGGGAGGCAGCAGUGGGGAAUAUUGGACAAUGGGGGGAACCCUGAUCCAGCCAUGCCGCGUGUGUGAAGAAGGCCUUAUGGUUGUAAAGCACUUUAAGCGAGGAGGAGGCUACUUUAGUUAAUACCUAGAGAUAGUGGACGUUACUCGCAGAAUAAGCACCGGCUAACUCUGUGCCAGCCGCCGCCGUAA
RNAcentral lists this ribosomal RNA (501 nucleotides) under uncultured bacterium. RNAcentral's name for it is "partial 16S ribosomal RNA". It matches the Rfam family "Bacterial small subunit ribosomal RNA", at positions 30 to 523 of the family's 1533-position model. The record is from RNAcentral.